RNAcentral lists this ribosomal RNA (254 nucleotides) under uncultured bacterium. RNAcentral describes it as "partial 16S ribosomal RNA". It matches the Rfam family "Bacterial small subunit ribosomal RNA", at positions 524 to 776 of the family's 1533-position model. The record is from RNAcentral.
UACGAAGGGGGCUAGCGUUGCUCGGAAUCACUGGGCGUAAAGCGCACGUAGGCGGAUUUCUAAGUCAGGGGUGAAAUCCCGGGGCUCAACCCCGGAACUGCCUUUGAUACUGGGUAUCUUUGAGUCCGGAAGAGGUGAGUGGAAUUCCGAGUGUAGAGGUGAAAUUCGUAGAUAUUCGGAGGAACACCAGUGGCGAAGGCGGCUCACUGGUCCGGUACUGACGCUGAGGUGCGAAAGCGUGGGGAGCAAACAGG